CCCUAGUAACGGCGAGUGAAGCGGCAUCAGCUCAAAUUUGAAAUCUGGCUCUUUCAGAGUCCGAGUUGUAAUUUGCAGAGGGCGCUUUGGUGUCGGCAGCGGUCCAAGUUCCUUGGAACAGGACGUCACAGAGGGUGAGAAUCCCGUACGUGGUCGCUGACCUACACCGUGUAAAGCCCCUUCGACGAGUCGAGUUGUUUGGGAAUGCAGCUCUAAAUGGGAGGUAAAUUUCUUCUAAAGCUAAAUACUGGCCAGAGACCGAUAGCGCACAAGUAGAGUGAUCGAAAGAUGAAAAGCACUUUGGAAAGAGAGUCAAACAGCACGUGAAAUUGUUGAAAGGGAAGCGCUUGCAGCCAGACUUGCUUGUAGUUGCUCAUCCGGGCUUUUGCCCGGUGCACUCUUCUGCGAGCAGGCCAGCAUCAGUUUGGACGGUUGGAUAAAGGCCUCUGUCACGUACCUUCUCUCGGGAAGGCCUUAUAGGGGAGGCGUCAUGCAACCAGUCUGGACUGAGGUCCGCGCAUCUGCUAGGAUGCUGGCGUAAUGGCUGUAAGCGGCCCGUCUUGAAACACGGACCAAGGAGUCUAACAUCUAUGCGAGUGUUUGGGUGUCAAGCCCGAGCGCGUAAUGAAAGUGAACGGAGGUGGGAUCCCGCAAGGGUGCACCAUCGACCGAUCCUGAUGUCUUCGGAUGGAUUUGAGUAAGAGCAUGGCUGUUGGGACCCGAAAGAUGGUGAACUAUGCUUGAAUAGGGUGAAGCCAGAGGAAACUCUGGUGGAGGCUCGCAGCGGUUCUGACGUGCAAAUCGAUCGUCAAAUUUGGGCAUAGGGGCGAAAG
This 833-nucleotide ribosomal RNA is filed under the name Pyrenochaetopsis americana. RNAcentral describes it as "partial large subunit ribosomal RNA". It matches the Rfam family "Eukaryotic large subunit ribosomal RNA", at positions 78 to 929 of the family's 3401-position model. Lineage: Eukaryota; Fungi; Ascomycota; Dothideomycetes; Pleosporales; Pyrenochaetopsidaceae. The record is from RNAcentral.